This is a long non-coding RNA of Glycine soja, 1983 nucleotides long. RefSeq lists it as uncharacterized. Lineage: Eukaryota; Viridiplantae; Streptophyta; Magnoliopsida; Fabales; Fabaceae. The record is from RefSeq and is a predicted model, not a curated record. The transcript is spliced from 11 exons.
UUCACAUUCCUAUUUUCUUUUUCUCUGUGUUCUCACUUCAUCUCCUUUUUUCCUUUUUUGUUUUCAGAAAGUGUCAUUUCCCCACCAAUUUGUUUCCUCUGUUUCCAUUCUUUCUUCUUCAUUUUGGUGUCUUCUUCAAUUCCACUUUUUCCUUUUGUUUUUGGUUGAGUUUUAGAGCUGCUGAGGGCUUCCAUUUUCAUUCUAUUUUUUGCGAUUUUGGUUUGGGUUCUUUUUCUUUAAAUGGUCUGAUUUUUUGUGGUUUUAUUUUUGGAACAGGUUACAGUAACAACGACGGCUUUGGCAAAGAAUUUGUGGGAGAAGUUAAGAAGAAGAUAGAGGCUCUUCAAACUAUUGGAGAUUCUCUGUAACUUCAAUCCAAGCAAGAUGGUUCAGGGUCGUGCUACUCUUAGAAAGCAAUGAGUAAUCCCUUUGCAGCGUGCUCACCAAGUGUUUGAGAAUAUUACGCAGCGAAAGAUUCCCGAAACCCAAAUUUACGCAGUGUGCCUUGCAUGCCCAUCAAGGCUGAUUUGAAGUGGCCGAAAGAGGCAUGGAUUCUGGGUCAAGAUGUUUCUGCCGGGUUCACUCCUAGCAUGUAUAUUAUUCUUUUCCCUCACUUCUGGCUCCCGCUGUGUGCUCUGCUUCACACUACUGCCUCUCAUCCACUCCCUAUCGCUGCAAUUUUAUAUUUGUCAUUUUGGUUCCGGCCUUGCCUCUUAAGCCUCUUAAGAGGGACAGGCUCAUGAGUAAAAUUGGCGUAUCUUAAUGUCCUGUGCUUAUUUGGAGCCCAUUAUGGCUUGCACAAGUUGCUCACACUUCCAUGAUCUAUUGGAAAUGAACUUGCCUAGCGUUUGAUGAAAGUGUGGUGACAUAACAGACGAGAUCUAAGAGGUCCUUGGAAAUUCAACAAUUGAGGGAGCGUAAGAAAGAGUAUGACUUGAAGACAGCAAUAUCUUUGGUUAAAGAGACAGCUAAAACCAAGUUUGUAGAAACAGUAGCAGCCCAUUUCCGCCUCAACAUUGACCCUAAAUAUAAUGAUCAACAAUUAAGAGCAACAGGUGUUGCCUAGGAUAUUUGUGUGAUUCAAAUUUGUCACCAUGAGCAAGUCAGGACAACCACGGGAUUUGAAAAAUACAUGUACAAGAAAUUUUUGAUUUCUACCGGUAUUAGUGGUGCAAGCUACUACACUGGAACUUUCAAUAUUGUCAAUCGCUCUCCGGAUGGAAGCCAUUCUGGCUGCCACGUAAUAGAGCAGUUGCCAGAAGAAUCCAGAACAUGCGAUGGAGAGCUGAUGGUGGUCUGUGAUAGAUUAUUCAAUUUUUGUGAUCUUGAAACUAAAUUUCUUUGCGUUGCUCUAUUUUUCCUUUUUUUUGCUAAAUCAUGUUCACAUAUUGGCUGAUAUUAAUGUAGUGUUGCAGUGUUUGAUAUAUCGAAUUGGUUGUCUUGAGCAGCCAGUGUUAACAUGCAUACACAGGAAAUGAUCCUGGAAGGAAAUUUUUGCUUGAUGGAGAGGUCACUAUUGACACAAUGGCAGAUAAUGUGGAAUUCACAGGUUUGAUUUUGGAAAUCCAAAGGAACGUCGAUAACUAAUCACUUACUAAUUUGAAGUUUUUUUUAAAAUAGUGCUGAUUGAAGCUCAUUAAAAUGUGCACAUUUUUUGUUGCGGAGCUGUCUUCUCUUAUUUUUAAAACUUAUCAUCUAGAUUGUGACGGAUAGUUGGAUAGAGAAUGCUGUCAAUGGGCUAAUGGGCAAGCAGAACAUGGUUCUGACCGGACUGAGUUCUUGAAGCUCUCUAACAGAAUAAAGUACACAAUUCAAACUUGGUAUCUUCUAUAAUUUGAGGAGUUGAUGGUAUCAUGUAUUUUUUGAUUUGUCUGACAUAAUCAUAGUUAUUUUUAAGUUGUUGUAGAUCCUUUAUGUAAUUUAUUUUUUGAAUUCUGUUAUGGAGUUCAAAUUAUAUAUAUAUUUUUUUAUUUACAUGGAAAA